RNAcentral lists this transfer RNA (76 nucleotides) under Anaerovibrio sp. RNAcentral's name for it is "tRNA-Lys". It matches the Rfam family "tRNA". Rfam says of the family: Transfer RNA (tRNA) molecules are approximately 80 nucleotides in length. Their secondary structure includes four short double-helical elements and three loops (D, anti-codon, and T loops). The record is from RNAcentral. Lineage: Bacteria; Bacillati; Bacillota; Negativicutes; Selenomonadales; Selenomonadaceae. RNAcentral also lists the same sequence under 4 other names.
GACUCACUAGCUCAAUUGGUAGAGCAUCUGACUCUUAAUCAGCAGGUUCGGAGUUCGAGUCUCCGGUGGGUCACCA